GAUGAACGCUGGCGGCGUGCCUAAUACAUGCAAGUCGAGCGAACGGACGAGAAGCUUGCUUCUCUGAUGUUAGCGGCGGACGGGUGAGUAACACGUGGAUAACCUACCUAUAAGACUGGGAUAACUUCGGGAAACCGGAGCUAAUACCGGAUGAUAUUUUGAAACGCAUGGUUCAAAAGUGAAAGACGGUCUUGCUGUCACUUAUAGAUGGAUCCGCGCUGCAUUAGCUAGUUGGUAAGGUAACGGCUUAACAAGGCAACGAUGCAUAGCCGACCUGAGAGGGUGAUCGGCCACACUGGAACUGAGACACGGUCCAGACUCCUACGGGAGGCAGCAGUAGGGAAUCUUCCGCAAUGGGCGAAAGCCUGACGGAGCAACGCCGCGUGAGUGAUGAAGGUCUUCGGAUCGUAAAACUCUGUUAUUAGGGAAGAACAUAUGUGUAAGUAACUGUGCACAUCUUGACGGUACCUAAUCAGAAAGCCACGGCUAACUACGUG
Molecule: ribosomal RNA, 497 nt
Filed under: uncultured bacterium
Lineage: Bacteria
Description: partial 16S ribosomal RNA
Rfam family: Bacterial small subunit ribosomal RNA
Source: RNAcentral